This is a long non-coding RNA of Syngnathus acus (greater pipefish), 1550 nucleotides long. RefSeq lists it as uncharacterized. The record is from RefSeq and is a predicted model, not a curated record. Lineage: Eukaryota; Metazoa; Chordata; Actinopteri; Syngnathiformes; Syngnathidae. The transcript is spliced from 2 exons.
AUCUGUAAAAUUUUUAAGUUAUCAAAAAUUAACUCCCCUCGGUGACUUUUGGCCCACCCCUAUACAUAUGUCCAAGUACAUAUACACAUGUACAUAUGGUACAUUGUCAUAUGUAGGGCUGAGCAACAAUUUGAGUUUCCUGCUUUGGGUGAUUUUCUGUUGUUCUGCUUGCAAACAACAGCUACUAUGUACAUCAAGGGGCUAGUUUACCAAUGCAUGGUCAAUCUUGCCAAUUGAGUGACUUUAUCGAUUCCUUGAUUAAUUCCUAGUUUGUAUUUCUAUUACAUUUAUCAAAAAAGCUACUAGUAGCGACCCUAAUCCCUGUACUUUCAAGCCACCUAUAUUUUAAUGAGGUUGCCUUGUUUUGCUCGUUCUGAAGCCUCAUUUUAUCUACUGUACUUGGUGAUUUUUUUUUACUCAUUCAAAUUUGGGAGUCAUUGACAACACGAUUCUCUAUGGUGUGUCAGAUUUACCUAUUCAUUUUUGCAUUAAAGACUAACCCAAAAGAUCUUGCAAAUAUUACUGUCGAAUUUCACUGAUAUUCAUUGAGAUUUUUGACUCUCUACAGAAAUGUUUUUACGGUGUAAGGAGCAGAACUUUAGUGCAUCCUAUUCAUACUUGAAAAACUAAUUUAGUAGGCUAAAAUUGGGCCCAUGCAUAAGAAUUUACUUCUUGAUUUUGUAAUACUUCACACUCAAUAGUUUAGUACAAACACACUCAUUCCUAGGUAGAGUUUGGAGCACUCCAUAAUUUGCAUAUGUAAAACAUGCAAUCUCAUAGUGUGUUACUUGUGCACAGGAAGACAAUGAGUUUGGACCUGGAGCAACAACGCGUGCUGUGCAGCGCUUGGAUUUCAGUAGGCAGAGGGAAUGCAGCAGUUAUCAGAGAUUGUUUCCCAUUGCUCUCCAUCCAUCUUCCCCUUUCCUCCUAUCUGCACUCCCCAUUCGCAGCCUUUCGACUUAACUUGCCAGCAUGCCUCAACUUCUCCCCUCCCUUCUUCUUUCGCAUAGAGACUGGACCAUUGGUCCUAACUUCAGAAGCUGUGGAAGAUGUGAGGGAGACAGAUUACAGGACAAGAGGAAGGAGGUGCACCGACUGGUGCCCAGGUGCAACUGCAAAGACUUGGAUCUUAACACCCAGUAAGCAAAAAUAAUAAUCGUGGACUAGCAUAGCUCCAUCGCGCUUCCCCACCCUCACAGACUCCUUUCUCUCCAUUGUGGAGUCCUUCCAUUCCUGGGCCCCAUCAUCACACGGGACCUCGAGUGACCAUUGGUUCCCUCAUUAAAAAGGCCUAAGAGAGGAUGUUCUCCAUCACAAUAUGCUCAACAAACUUGCCUCCAUCUCCUCUCCUCAGGCUGGAGCAUUCACUUUGCUACCACCACGCUGAGAAUUUUUUUUCCACAAGCUGUAAGACUGUUAAAGUCAAACACUGCUCUGCAGAACCGACAUCAGACCCCACCCUCAAUGAUUAUUCGCCUCUGUAUGUUGAACACUAUUUUCUUGAUCCCUGUUUUCUUUUUGUCAAAUACAGAGUUACCUUGUAAAUAUCA